Molecule: long non-coding RNA, 329 nt
Filed under: Anser brachyrhynchus (Pink-footed goose)
Lineage: Eukaryota; Metazoa; Chordata; Aves; Anseriformes; Anatidae
Description: lncRNA (ENSABRG00000006251.1)
Source: RNAcentral
CAGUCACCCAUGGGCGCUAAUUGGUAGCAGGACCUACCGUGCUGGGCAUGCUCAUACAGGGGAAAACCUCCUUGAAACCGUGUUUUCAUACUGUAGUUGGACCAGCUCAGGCCUGCUCUGCUCCAAGGUUCGGUGUUAAAGUUCAUGCCAAACUAGAACUCACCUACAAAGCUGACAAAGAGAGAAGAUUGAAAAGUGAGGAAAUUUGGUCAACUUUACAACCUUUCUCAGUCAGAAACACCUUAGGAUACAUUCAGUUCUUUAAUUUGGGAAGAGGGCGUGUGAGAAUAGGUUUGAAAGCAAAAAUCAUCCUAGCACUGACUGCCUGA